UACGGAAUGUGCAAACGUUAUUCGGAAUCACUGGGCUUAAAGAGUCCGUAGGCGGCUUGUUAGGUGAGGUGUGAAAUCCCCCGGCCCAACCGAGGAAUUGCGCUUCAAACCGGCAAGCUAGAGGAGGAUAGAGGUGGGCGGAACUGAUGGUGGAGCGGUGAAAUGCGUUGAUAUCAUCAGGAACACCGGAGGCGAAGGCGGUCCACUGGGUCCUAUCUGACGCUGAGGGACGAAAGCUAGGGGAGCGAACGGG
Molecule: non-coding RNA, 253 nt
Filed under: uncultured Pasteuria sp.
Lineage: Bacteria; Bacillati; Bacillota; Bacilli; Caryophanales; Pasteuriaceae
Also listed under: 1 other name
Description: partial 16S ribosomal RNA
Rfam family: Bacterial small subunit ribosomal RNA
Source: RNAcentral